Molecule: RNA transcript, 1135 nt
Organism: Nycticebus coucang (slow loris)
Lineage: Eukaryota; Metazoa; Chordata; Mammalia; Primates; Lorisidae
Gene name: protein CDV3 homolog
Exons: 1
Source: RefSeq, a predicted model, not a curated record
GCCGGCCUCGACCCCGAGCUCCGAGACCCGCGGGCAGAGCACGCCGCCGACCCCACCCAUCCGGGCCGAGGAGACCGCAGCAAUGGCCGAGAGGGAGGAGCUGAGCCUAGACAACUUCUUUGCCAAGAGGGACAAGAAAAAGAAGAAGGAGCGGAGCAGCCAGGCGGCGAGAUCCGCGGGCGCAGCAGGGAGCUCCGGCGGGAGCAGCGGAGCCGCGGGCGAGGCGGGUGCGGGGCCCCGGUCGGGAGACGGCGGGACCGGGAGCGCCGGGCGCGAGCGCUGGGGCCGCGGGCCCAGGGGCGGCCACCAAGGCUGUGACGAAGGAAGAAGAUGAAUGGAAAGAAUUUGAGCAAAAAGAGGUUGAUUACAGUGGCCUCAGAGUUCAGGCAAUGCAAAUAAGUGAAAAAGAAGAAGAUGAUAAUGAAAAGAGAGAAGAUCCAGGUGAUAAUUGGGAAGAAGGUGGAGGAGGUGGUGGUGGUAUGGAGAAAUCUUCAGGUCCCUGGAAUAAAACUGCUCCGGUUCAGGCACCUCCUGCUCCAGUAAUUGUUACAGAAACCCCAGAACCGGCAAUGACUAGUGGGUGUAUAGGCCUCCUGGGGCCAGGUUAACCACAACAAGAAAAACACCACAAGGAUCACCAGAAAUAUACAGCGAUACGCAGUUCCCAUCCCUGCAGUCAACUGCCAAGCAUGUAGAAAGCCGGAAGGAUAAAGAAAUGGAGAAGAGCUUUGAAGUAGUAAGACACAAAAAUAGAGGUAGGGAUGAGGUUUCGAAAAACCAGGCACUUAAACUUCAGCUAGACAACCAGUAUGCUGUGCUUGAAAAUCAGAAAAGCAGCCACACACAGUACAAUUAAGGAAUGGUCUUUGCUAACCCUUCUAAGGUGUCUAGACCACAGCUCUCUACCAUGAACAGCCAUUCAUCAUCUGAUCUCUGCUGGAUCCACAGCACCUGAUGCAGACCACUUGAUUUAAGUGACCAGCUCUGUUGCACUAUGGAAGUUUAAAGUGUCAGAACUGCUCUUUAUGUAUAUUGGAUUUAGGGGAAUUUUCAUUGUUAUAUAAAUGUGUGAACUAGAUUCUUCCACAGUGUUCUUUCAUAAUUACUCUGCAAAUACAAAAAACCAAAACCUGCA